GCCCGUGUGGUUCAGCGGUUGAGCGCCGACCUAUGAACUAGGAGGUCAGGGUUUGAUUCCCUGUCAGGGCA
RNAcentral lists this transfer RNA (71 nucleotides) under Myotis brandtii (Brandt's bat). It matches the Rfam family "tRNA". From Rfam's summary of the family: Transfer RNA (tRNA) molecules are approximately 80 nucleotides in length. Lineage: Eukaryota; Metazoa; Chordata; Mammalia; Chiroptera; Vespertilionidae. The record is from Rfam by way of RNAcentral.